Molecule: ribosomal RNA, 481 nt
Filed under: uncultured bacterium
Lineage: Bacteria
Description: partial 16S ribosomal RNA
Rfam family: Bacterial small subunit ribosomal RNA
Source: RNAcentral
GAUGAACGCUGGCGGCGUGCUUAACACAUGCGAGUCGAACGAAGCAUUUAAGACAGAUUACUUCGGUUUGAGGUCUUUUAUGACUGAGUGGCGGACGGGUGAGUAACGCGUGGGUAACCUGCCUCAUACAGGGGGAUAGCAGCUGGAAACGGCUGGUAAUACCGCAUAAGCGCACAGUACCACAUGGUACAGUGUGAAAAACUCCGGUGGUAUGAGAUGGACCCGCGUCUGAUUAGCUUGUUGGCGGGGUAACGGCCCACCAAGGCGACGAUCAGUAGCCGACCUGAGAGGGUGACCGGCCACAUUGGGACUGAGACACGGCCCAGACUCCUACGGGAGGCAGCAGUGGGGAAUAUUGCACAAUGGAGGAAACUCUGAUGCAGCGACGCCGCGUGAGUGAAGAAGUAGUUCGCUAUGUAAAGCUCUAUCAGCAGGGAAGAUAGUGACGGUACCUGACUAAGAAGCUCCGGCUAAAUACGUG